This 42463-nucleotide long non-coding RNA is filed under the name Vitis vinifera (wine grape). RNAcentral's name for it is "long non-coding RNA (VVIN_LNC000008)". The record is from RNAcentral. Lineage: Eukaryota; Viridiplantae; Streptophyta; Magnoliopsida; Vitales; Vitaceae.
AGGAGGAGGAGGUUGGAAGGUUAUGGUGUUGGCUUUUGGAAAGCUAUCAGAAAAAAUUAGUUGGUUUUUAAAAGUAGAGUUUGCUUCAUUAUUUGAAAUGGAAAGAGAAUCAAGUUUUGGUUGGAUAAGUGGUGUGGUGACACUGUGACACCUUGCUAAAAGAGUCUUUCCCCACCUUAUUUGCUAUUGUCAAUUCAAAGGUUUUGUGGGUAGUAAAUACAUGGGAGGAAGAUGGGGAUCUUGGUUAUUGAAGUUCUUGUUUCUCAAGACAGUUCCAUGAUUGGGAGUUAGAGAUGGUGUAACCAUUUUUGUAGAAAAUUCAAAAGCAUUUGGAUAGGAGUGAUAUAGAGGAUAAAAUGACUUGGUCAGUUUCAAGGAAUGGGUGAUGCACACUCCUCUGUGAAAAGAAACCUCCUAGGUUGGCAUGGAUCUUUUGUGGGCAAGAAAAGGGAGAAAGCUUGGAGAGCUGCCCCCCUCUGCCUGAUGUGGACCAUUUGGAAAGAAAGGAAUAGGAGGGGCCUUCGAUGAUAUGGAGAGGAACAAUCAAGAUAUUAAAUCCAUUUUUUUGUACACUUUUGUGAAUUGGGCUAGGGUGUAUAUAGAAAAACACACUUUGUCUUUGAUAGAUUUCGUAGACUGGCUAGCCACCAAGUAAGCGUCAGACUUGUUUUGUCCCUUUGUUUUUUGCUUCUUUGUUUUUGGUAUACUCCGUGUAUACCUUUUCUCUAGCCUUUUGGCUCUUAAUGAAUUUUCUUUACCUAUCAAAAAAAAAGGAAUGGAAUGUUUUCUGUUAAAACUUUCUUACUCUUUCUUGCCUUAGGGAGUUGAAAGGCUUUCUUAGCUAUAGUUGUUUGGAAUUUGUGGGUCCCAAUGAGAAUUGGUUUUUUUGCAUGGGAAGCUUCUUGGGAAAGGAUCUUGACAUUAGGCCCCUUGAAAAGAUGGGUAUCUUGGUCAUUGAAGUUCUUGUUUCUCAAGACAGUUCCAUGAUUGGGAGUUAGAGAUGGUGUAACCAUUUUUGUAGAAAAUUCAAAAGCAUUUGGAUAGGCAUGAUACAGAGGAUAAAAUGACUUAGUCAGUUUCAAGGAAUGGAAAGUUCACUGUUAAAGCUUUCUUACUCUUUCUUGCCUUGGGGAGUUCAAAGGCUUUCCCAGCUAUAGUUGUUUGGAAUUUGUGGGUCCCAAUGAGAAUUGGUUUUUUUGCAUGGGAAGCUUCUUGGGAAAGGAUCUUGACAUUAGACCCCUUGAAAAGAAGGGGGGUUUCUUUAAUAAAUAGAUGCUUUAUGUGUAAAAUGGAGGAAGGAUUAUGACCACAUGCUUCUACAUUGUGUUACAACUUGAUUUCUGUGGCUGUUGGUUUUUUUGGUUAUUUGGGUUGCUAAGCUGGAAUGGGAUUCAAGUAGGAAAAAAGUGGGAAGAAAGCUUGGUUAGCUGCCCUUUUGUGCCCUUUCUAGAUCAUUUGGCUUGAAAGAAAAUGAAGGGCUUUUGAAGAUGUGGAAACCUGAGAUCAAUUGCUAAAAUCCUCUUUUAUGCUUUCCUUUUUGGAUCAUGUUAGAAAGAAAUACUGUCUUUCAUUUAUUUUAUUGAUUGGCCAGAAGCUAUGUAGUUGUGGGCAGGUGGUGUUUUUCCUUUGUUUGCCAUCCUUUCUUUGUUCUUUUUGCUUGGUUCCCUUUGUAUACUCUUGGUGUACAUUGGCGAGCUUUAGCCUUCCCUUUUUUACCACCCUUUUCUCUAUCUAUAAUGUUUUUCUGUGUGCUUAUCAAAAAAAGAAUAAAAAAAGACAUGGAAGUUUUGGUACACAAGUGAUGAACGAAGAUAAUGAAUGACUUUUGUUUGGUCUUCUUCUGCAUUGAUGUGUUUUGUAUAUGUGUACAUAUUCUUUCCAUCUAUCUUCUGAUGUGGAAAAGAAAAAAACAAAAGCAAUGCAUGUUAAGGAAAGCAGAAAAUGAUUGGUUAUCAAAAAAAAAGGAAAGCAGAAAAUGAUUGUGAUGUACAGAACCGAGUUACAAAUUUUCUUCUGUACUUGUUUCUUUCAUGCCCUGUUUCAGACCUUCCUUUUUUUUUUUGUGUGUGUAUUGUGGCACAUUGCCAUCAGUCUCAUGACCCUCAUCUUCAUAGCCACACUUCAUCGAGUUUCAGGAUUUUCAAGGUCACUCUGCCAAUGAUUGAAACUUUUAUUUGUGUCCUUGUGCUGUCAGUUAUGGCUGUUGAAGGACAGAAUGAAGUUAAAUGCGAUUUCUAGUUCUGAUUUUAUAUUAUAACAAAGUUUAGUUCACUGUUGUUGUUCAUUCUUCUGUCCAAAGCAUCAUUCUACCGAACUAGAUGCUGAAAUGCAUCUGUAGUACUGCCUGUACUCCUGUUUAAUUAUGAUUUGUUUGCUAACUUUGCAUUGUUAAAAUAUGUAUCAGGUUUAUUUUCAAUUGGAGAAUCUGAGCCGUGCAGACCCUCCUUACAAGUCUGUUGCUGCUCUGAAUUGUGUUAUUUUAGGUUGUGCGAAUAUAUGGGACCUUGACAGGGCCUACCAGACUUUUGAGGCAAUUGGUUCUUCUUUUGGAUUGACCCCUGAUAUACAUUCAUACAAUGCUUUGAUGUAUGCAUUUGGAAAGCUCAAGAAGGUGGGUCAUCUUAUGAAUGAAUUCUCCCUCUUUUUCUCUCCUUCUAUGCAUCUAUGUAUCUACUUGUACAAGCACUAUUUAGAUACACACAUGCACUCACACAAACACACAUGUCAUGCACGUACAUUCUUCCUUCAUGUGAGUAUCGAGCCAUUUUGUAUCUCAUGUUAUGCAUGUGAUUCUGGUUCUGUUAAUAAUUUACUUGGUGAAAAUACCAAAAGUCUCAUGACUAGAUCAUUGUAGCAAUAUUUGCUGGAGAGGCAAAACUAAUUUUGGUAAAUUCCCUGGAACAAAUUCUUUUUUUCCCUUCAUUUCCAAAUUUGGGUGGGGGUUUGUUUCUGAUUGUGUGAGAAGCAGACAGCAGCCAUGUACUUUCAGGGCCCACAUAUAUGCCUGAGUCACAGCCUUGUAAGCAUCAUGACACUCCUACAAAUGCAAGAAAUUAAACACGCUCAUAAACUUUUGUUUUAUCUGCUGGAGUAGUUCUAGAGUACUAAGUAGAGAGCUUUUCCUGUAACAGACAUUUGAAGCUUCAAGGGUGUUUGAGCACUUAACCAGUCUGGGCAUAAAACCAAAUGCAAUGUCAUUUUCAUUGCUUGUGGAUGCUCAUCUCAUCAACCGAGAUCAAAAAGCUGCUCUCUCUGUGAUUGAAGAGAUGGUAAAAUAUCCUUCCUGCUUAAUCAGCUGGCUUUUGUUAUCAAUGUUGGAUGCCAUCCCUUUUACAAAUGAUUUAUGGUAACAUAACAAACUGCAUGUACAGAUAAAUGCUGGAUUUGCACCAUCGAAAGAGAUACUUAAAAAGGUGAGAAGACGAUGCAUUAGGGAAAUGGACUACGAGAGUAAUGACCAGGUGGAGUCCCUGGCGAGAAAGUUUAAGAUCCGUAUGGGCACAGAAAAUCGCAGAGACAUGCUGUUCAACCUUGCGUACAACACCGAGUAUGCUUGAUAGGUAAAUUCUGACGUAGUUCAUAAAUCGAACAAUGUAAUGACUUUAAUAUCUUGUACGAUCGUUCAGAAGAACUUGCAGUUCUGAAAACCAUCCUUUUUUGCCAUCUUGUUCCCAGUCUAGUACUGUUUUCCUGAGUCCAUUGAUUCAGUUUCAUGAUGUUGCAGUAUUAACUCGUAUUAUUCUGCUCUCAGGUUUGCUUUUGCUUCUCUUCUCUUUGGAUCGUGGCAUUCCCAUGCAACAUUUGGCGAUGCCAACCUUGGUUUUCCCUUGAAUAUUCCUCCAUGUUUGUAAAUUACCAGAUUGUACUCAAUUUUGAGUCUUAGCUGGAGGAAUACUAGAGUGUAGCCUCCUAACACCUUGUUUUUGUAUUCUUUUUGCGAUUUUUGAGGAAAACUAAAGGGAUGACGCAAUGUUAAUCCAAAUCAGACACUUGAAUAUCGCCAAUAAUUUUUAGGGAUGUAGGGCCGCAUCCAUAAUAAUCAAUAUUUCCAUCCUAGGGUUUUAGGUUCAUUUUGAUUUCUGCCCUGAUGCAUAAUUUGUGCCUGUGCUUCUUGUUCCUUUAAUAGUCAAUUCUUUUUCAUUCAUUUCUAGUAUACAGGACCGGUCCUGAUUCAUUGCUGGGUUGGGAUCUGAUUGCUUUCUGGGUUGGUCAAAGCAAAAAUUUGAACAAUCGGCAUUAACUCAACUCAACUCGGAAUAUGAUAAAAAUCUGACACAAGAAAAAAAUUAUACAUCUGAUUUCACGCAAAAGAAAAAAAAAAAAAAGUCCUGUUUACAAUGACCCCCUUUAUUUACUUAUUUUGGUAUUAUGCAGGGCUGUGAGACGUGGGAGUAAAUCCACCAGUUCUAUGAUGCUUAAGUUGCCGCAGCAUUCUGCAACAGCAGAAGAGAGAACUUUGUGAGUCAAAUGCAAAAAAUGGAAGAAAGGUACCUUAGCUUUGGAAAGAGCAAAAUCUGAUGAUAAGCUCUAACCUGGUUUUCUUCCUCCAUAUUUGCCCUUAUGAGGGAGUAGAUGGCAACGCCAGUAAUGGCUAUUGCAGUACCGAUCGCAGUCUGCGUCGUGAUCUUAUUACCUGCCAGAUUUUUCAACCACAAAAGAAUUCAAUAUAAAAGAACCUGUUUGGUAAAUUUUGGAUUGAAAGCAAUGAGUUCAUACCAAAUACAAUGGUAGACAACACAAUGACGACCACUCGCUUCAACACACUUCCAACUGCAUGUGUGAGCGGCGAAACCCGUUCCAAGGUGCUGACAGCAAGCUGUAAUGGUAAAGCUCGAAUGUUAAAAGAACCAGAAGUCAUGGUGAAAAUGAGGUCCUGAUUUUCUGGAUAUGGUACACUAAGGUCUUCAUCUAUGAAUAGGAGUAGUAAAAUUUGAUACGAGCUGUCAACAUGAUUCAAAGUCUAUAUGUUUUUCAAAAGUUUGAGUUGAACAUAAUUGAGUUUGGAUCAAUUUCAUGUCUAUUUAUAUAACAUGAAUUUAACUUGAAUGGACCUAUUUAAUAAUAGUAUUGAUUAAUCUAAUUAUAAUUUUAAAUUAUUUGAUAUAUAUUUGACUUAUUUUAAAUUUACUUUUAAAUAAAUAAGUUAAUUGAUUAAUUAUAACUUUAAGUUAUUUGAUUCAUUUUAAAUUUAUUUUUAAAUAAAUAUGUCAAUUAAGUAAUAAACGUCUGGUUGAUAUAUUAAGUAUAUAGAUUUAUAUAAAAUCUAACUCAAUUUUAUUAUUAAAUAACAAGACUUGAUAAGUAAAUGUGUUAAAUUGGCUAUAUAAUGUGUUACUGGUUUAAUAAUUAAGCAAUAUUUGGAUUUAUGUUUUUAACUUGAUUAUUAUUCUUAUCGGGUUUUGAUUGAUAUAUGUUACAUAGAAUGUUUAGGUUUCGACAUUACAUAAAUAUGACCCACCAACGUCAAUUGCUACUUGGUAUCUAUAAAGAAGGGAAGAAAGUCACAUACCUGAUUGUCCAAAUGGAAAAACAAUCCAACCCAGAAUAAAUCAGACACUAAUUUAGCUAGACCCACUUUAGCAAUAGCGUCCCUGAACCCAUGUUGCAUCAGCUGAGGCCCAUCAAUCUGAAAGUGUUUACAUCAGGAGAAUCUUCAACAAACAAGAAAUGUCAUAACUUCACUUGGUCUAUGUGAUACGGAAACAUACAAGUAGUGCAGGUGGGAAGCAAAACACAAGGGCGAUCAUUGCAGUAUAAGCGCACACAUUUGCACUGUCCAUCCCUGUCUGUUAAAAACCGAAAAACAAGUAAGAAGCAUAGCAAGAAAACAUGCUAAAUUGGUAAAUUUUCAACCCAAUCAACGUAUCUUCUUGAAUGAUUCGACAAAUGAGGACAUGCAUAUGCGUAGGUUGUGUGCAUGUGGGUUGGUCAAUAGCUGUGGUACCUGGACUCUUCAACUUCAUCCAAUGUGCUGUUUCGACACGACUUGAUAGUGUUGUAGGUGUGGGUAUCAUUUUCAAAUAUUCCUAUUUUGCUUUAGAUACUAAUAAAUUUUGUUCUUAUCAAGGAUGGUAUCCGAGUACCAUUCAAGAUUAUGUUUCAACUGUUCCUAUGUCCUAAGCUUUGAAAAGUGAAGGAUCAGACACCUAAACCCGACACCCUCAUAUCCCAAACCCAUGUAACAUAGGUUAACAGUGUGGAUGGAGAUGACCACACGCAAAUCAUCAAUUCCAUUCUACAAUUUCAAAGAGGCCCAUAUAAAAGGUUUUUCCAUGGGAUGGGCUGUAAAAUGAGUUGGGCUACAAGGGCAAAAGGGCUAUGAAGUCCUGGUUUUCUUGGAUACUUCAAGAUUCAUUUCUGUUGGAAUCUUAUUAGACGGUUCAACUCAAACCCAGUAGUCUCCUGAGGAUGCAUUCUGAGCUUUAGAAAGCAUUUCAUCACUGCAUCAAAAUUAGACACAUGGAUGAGCAAAAACAAAGGAAAUUUCACAAUUUCACGGUUCAACUCCCCACCUUCUAUAGAAACACUCUCACAACCUAUAAAAUGGAAAUAGAACAUCGAAGACACAGAAAGAAGACAGUGCCUUAAAGAUCUUACCAUUGCUUUCUUUAAAUAUAAACUUCUGUAGGUAAAAGCAAAAUUUGCAACCAUUGCACUGAUGAAACCAGUCCAGUUGAAAGAAAGUUCAGUGAGUGAUGCCAUUGAUACACCUAAACGAAAAGUUAAGAAGCAAUUCAGUGAUUUCGGAGUCUAGAGGCAUAAUUAUAUGGAACAUGCUGACACAAAUGAACUUAACAGACCUGCCAUGUCGAAGUAUUUAUUCAGAUACUUAAAACGAACAAAUAAACAUCAAGACAUAUGAGCAUAUCUUUUAUCUCUAUAUAAAUGAUUCUCCUUUCUUGCCCUUCUAGCAACAACAUCACCAUUAUGUCUUAGAUAAUUUGUCCAACAUGGUAGGUCUGAGGACAUCCAAUGUUCAUUUUAGACUAACGAGAACUGAAGAAAGUAAAAGGAAGAAGAAUAGAAUCCAUAGAGAUACCAAAAACAACAGGGGCCAAUGACAGCCAGAGGGGGAAGGGAAUCUGGUGGCCUAAAACAAAUUGAGAAGCCGCAGCAUUGAAGAAUGGCUCGAGGGCUGCAGAAUAAACAUCGAAAUAAUUAGUUAGAAGCAAGAAACUAUCAUAAUCUCAAUUGUUUCCCAACUUAAUUGAACCGCUAAGCUACAUAACAGAAUUCCCAAGCCUUAUCACCAUAUUGAACAUGGUGAAGUAAAAGCUUGUCAAUCAAUUGAAGUACCUAGUUCUAAAUGAACAUUAGUACGUUCACCACUCUCAGUCAUGACCAUUUCUACAUGGUGAAUGUGGGACUGACAGCAAAUGAUUCAAACAGGUUGGUUGAUAUCAGCCUCAGCUCUAGAACACCCUAGGCUGAUACAAGACGCUCAGAACCAGACAGCAGAUUUCAAGGUUGCAGAUACUGAGUAGGCAAUUAGCACAAAAAUUGGGCUUGACGGUCUUUAUGAAAUCAUUCAAAAAAACAUACCCAAAAACAGAUGUGAAAUGCUAGCACAUUUUCAUAACUAUCAACAUAAUAUUGAUACAAUGAGCUUCAGGUAUUGAGGCAUUUCUGCAUAUUUCUUAACCUUUGAUAGUGUGUGUGAAUGACACAGCCACAGAUGCAAAUGAUACAUUAGUCAUAACAUGUCCAAGGGCAUGGCAGAAGGCAACAGGAGUGAGGAGCAGCAGGAACUCCUUAUCGAUCGGCUGGUUUCAUAAAAACACAGUUAAUUCAAUUAAAAUCAUAAAUGUACCUUAAGGAUAAUAGCAAUGAACAUGAAAAUAGGGACUUACAGCACGUUUUGGUAAGCCAAGAGACCAACAGACAAGACAGUAGAUCACACCCACCAGGAGAUGGAUAAAAGCAACAAAGCUGCAAAAUGGGAAAAAGCUCUUCUAAUUGUGAGAUGGGGAUUAUAGAUUCAACCUGUAUAUUAUAAAGCAAUUUAACUAGUUGCAGAUGGAAAUCAUAAAGGCUUGAAAGGACAAAAUUUAGCAGAGACAUACUAACCGUGGGUACGGGAAAUAAUUAUAAACCUUCUUGUUGAGUAUGUUGAAGACGAUAUUCGAAAAAUACCUGCAUAGAUAACAUUAACUGAUUGGGGAAUCAUAGCUUGUAUUCAGUAGUCCAGUUAGCAACAAUUUCCUAAAACCCUCAGUGUGAAUGAAACAUAUGUAAAAACCCGCCGCUUUGGGUCAAAGCUCACAAGCUUAAAACAGCAUUCACGUGGUUAAAAGAGUCUAUCACUUGAAUAGUAUUAGAAACCUCUGUCCCUAAUUGACAUAAGAAUGAAUGGAUACAAAUGAUAUCAGAAUCAAGCCGUAGCUUAAUGUGGGAGCUUGAGUGAUUGCUCUAACCGCCCUGUAAUCCCAUGGACGCUGACACUAUAUUCUUAGUGGACUUCUCUUGACUAUUCAGAUCUACCACCAACUGGGGGACAUUCAUUGGUUGUGAUAGGCACACAUUCUUUUGAAAAGGCACAGAUCUGAAGCUGAAGAUUAAAGGAGUUUCCAUGGGUUAAUGGAAGUAUAUUUCCAACUUCCAAUUAGACAAGUGGUUCCAGAAAGCACUUUUAUCCCUAUGAGCUGUCAAACAAAACGGUGUCCAGUUAUAUGCAGAUAAGCCUACCAUGUCAUGAAAAAGGAUCCGGUGACCAGCGCCGGGAAUCUCUCCGACAAGCUCUUGGCAGGCUCUACAACUCUGCAAUUACAAAUCUGAGUAUCAAUUUAUAACAAUAGCAAUGGGCAAUAUGCUAAAUUUGGUAGAAGGGAAAAUGUGGGAAAGUCAAGGAAUUUGUAAUUAUCUUCAUAACACUCCACCACCAGUCUACCCACCAACCGAAGCAUAAUGCUUCAGUUUACAUGGCUUUUUUUCUUUUCCUCCAUUUUCCAUCCAACCAAACAACAUAAAAAGACAAAUGAGGGUGUGACGAAGCCCAACCCAUCCGCAUCUGCAGCUGCAGCUGCUGGAACCCCGAGUUCUCCCCCCUUGCUGCCUCGCCUCCUCAACAUCUCAUUCCAACCGCCAAAUCUCAAGCACCUGCCGGAAAAAUCAAUCGGAUCCGGAGACGCCCGAAUCUCCGGCAACGGCGAAAAGGGUCUCUGAGAAACAACUGUUCUGAUCCUGAGUAGUCCAUAGUUUCCUGAAAUUCCCCUCGGAGACAAGGGCAGAGAAGACAAAAGCCGAGAGCAAGAAGCUGAAGCAGCCGUCAAAGCCAUCAGAAACAAACCACAAUGCAGGACUCUAAAUCUACAUGAGGAGCAACCAACUGAAACGGGAACUGGAUUUUGGUGAGCCGAAGAAGAUGGAAGUCAUUGAUGAAGUUGGAAUGGAGGAGUGAAGAAAGCAGGGGAGAAAAUUGUGAAAAACAAGAAAAACAAGCUCCUCCAUUAAGUAAUGUUGGUGAUGAGGAAUUGAGAGUGAAACUCACUAUAAUAACAAUAAUGUGGCUAUCAGCCUAUCACAUGGAGGAGAGAGAGAGAAAGGAAGAGAGAGAGGAGGUUUGUCUGGUUUGCCUCGUCCUAUCAUGGCCGUAGCGUCCCUACCAACCCAAAAGUCGGUUGGUAUAAAUGAAAAAAAAACAGUAAUUUUAAUAAAUAAAAAAAUAAUGCGUACGCAUAUGACAUAUCUACUAUUUUUUUUUUUAUAUUUUCUAAUAGCCAUGAUUGCUUAUUUGCUUAAAAAAGUAAUUGAAGUCCCCAUUCAAAUGGAAGUCCCCACAACAUGAUGCCUUCCAUGAAAAUAAAAUAAAGGAAGUUGAUAAAGUGAUGUUCUUAUUUUGAUAAGAGUAGGUUUUCAUUCCAUUAAUAAUGAUUUUUUUUAAAAUUUAUGAUCAUGAUUUAACUGGGAUGAUGGCUGAAAAAUGAAAUAUCUUAUUUGGGAUUCCCUUCUUUUCUUAUUUUUGUGUGAUAAAAGAGCUUUUAGCUUUUAGCUUUUGUGUGAUAAAGAGCUUUUGAAUAAAGAUCACGUGAAAUAAAUCCAAAGCAGGAGCUUUCACUACAAGGAAUAUUGUCCGUACUUAUCUACUAACUUCCUUUCCAAUCCAUAAGUUUUCACCAGCUUACUGUUUAGGGAGAAAGAAACCAUUCAUUUAAUGAAGCAAACCUAAUGGUCAAACAAACUGAAUCCAAAUGCUUGGAAAGCACCAUUUCUCUGUUUCUGAUAGCUUUUAUGAAAAACCACCCACCACCUCAGGAGUCUGUCUCUCUGAAUUUGAACAAGUAUGAUUCUGGGGAUCCAUUAAUUCAAUCUAUUUUUUAGAACCCCUUUAUUAUCCUCAGUAAUAUACAAAGCUUUGCAGAGUGUGGGUAGGAUAGAUUCGAUAGCUCUAUGAUGCUGGAGUUACAGCAGCUUUCUGAAGUAGCAGAAAAAUUUUGUUAGUCCACUGCAAGCAUGUUUAGCCACGAGGGAAGAAGUAAAAAUGAAGUACUAAAUUGGAUUAUUUGUUCUUCAUCAUAUUUAUUUGAGACCCAUGAAUAUGUCUUAUUUGGCAACGAUUUUUCAAAAACAGUUUUCUAUUUUUUAGAUUAAAAAAAAAUCAUAAAAAUAUAUUGGAUAGUCUUUUAAAAAUAAAAAAAAAUAGAAUAUUUUAAAAUAAAAUAUUUUAAAAAUGAGACUUUGUCCAUGCAUUUCAAGCCUAAUCUUUAUUUCAAGGGAAGAGCUUGGUUCUUUAUUUAAAGGGGAGAGACUCAUGGGUAACAAUAAGAGCAAACCAUAUUCUAGGAACAUAUGAAAAUGGAAAGAGUGCAAUUGAUAGUGGUUUUUUUUAAAGGGUUAUUUAGAGUCAUUUAGUAAUGAUUUUAUAAAGUGUUUUUAGUUUAAAGAGUAUUCUCGAAAAAAAAAAAGUAUUAAACAAAAUUUAAGUAAUAUUUUUAAAAUUUUUAAAAAUUACUUAUAAUGUUUUUAAGAAAAAUAUUUGAUAAGUGAUUUUAUAGAGAAAACACUUUCACUAAAAAUAUUUUGAAUAAAAACGCUAUUAGAUGCACAUUUAAAGCCCGUUUGAUAUUGAUUUUAGGAAACAUUUAUAACAUUUUUAACACUUGAAAAAUUUUUAUCAUUCAAGUGUUAGAAAGUUUAAAAACGUUUUCUAAAAUCACUAUCAAACACACUAUUAGUAGAAGUGUUUUCUUUAAAAGUGUUUCUGAAAUACUUAUUUAUUAAGAAUGUGUUUGGUAGUAAUUUUAGAAAAUAUUUUUAAUUCUUUUAAUAUUUAAAAGAUAAAAAAUUUUAAGUAUUAAAAUAUUAAAAACAUUUUUUAAAAUUACUAUCAAACGUACUCUUAAAACGUGCUUAAUAACAAUUCUAUGAGGUAUUUUUAGUACUUAAAAAGAUUAAAAUUCUCCAUAUUAAAAAGUCUAAAAACACUUUUUAAAAUCAUUAUCAAACAUCCUUUAAAUAUUUUGUAAAGAACUAAUAAAAAAAAGGUAUUUUCUAACUUUUUGUAUGAACCCAUAAUUUUUCUUUAAAAAUACCUUUUAAGGUAAAAGUGCUCAGCCAUGUGAUAAAAUCUUACCCGUUUUUGCUCUUCAAUGUUUGCCUUUAUGAGGGAGUAAAUGGCAACACCAGCAAUGGCUAUUGCAGUUCCAAUCCCAGUCUGCCUAGAGAUUUUGUUCCCUGCCAGAUUUUGCAGCCAUUAGAAUACAAGAAAACAAGAGUUAGUUCAGUGAGGAUGGCUGAUAAAUAUUGAAUCGAGGUCUGAAGUUUUUCUGAUAUGGAAAUUUAGAGUUAGUUGGCGGCACAAAUCAUUUUGAGGGGAGGAAUGAACCAAUACCGAAUAUAACAAUGGAGAAUCCAAUGACAAAAACUCGCUUCAACACAUUUCCAACUGCAUGUGUAAGCGGCGCAACCCGUUCCAAGGUGUUGGUAGCAAGCUGCAAUUGGAAGCAAAAGAGUUAAAAGAACCAGAAAAAUGCAAAUUCAAUACCUUAUUAGUCUGAUUCACACUAUGUCACUAUCAGACAUGCGCAUUUGGAGUCUAACACAACAGCUUGAAAUUGACAAGGAUGCAUUUGAACCUUCGACACCACUUAUUAGGUCAACAAAAGCUCUAAUACCAUUUAUUCAAUCGAUAAAAGCUUCAAUAUUAACAAGUACAUAAAGUUUUAACAUGAUUUGGUCUAUCAUAUCUAUCUUCACAAAAGAAAUAGAACAUUCAUUAUAUAAUAAAAAAUAUUGCAGAUGAUAAAACCAUAUACAAUUAUUGAGUCUCAAACUAUCCCAUAUUUUCUACUUUUUGUAUCUCUGCCUUAAGUUCUUUAAUUCCAUCGAAUUUUAUUAGGUGUCUCUCAUUCUUUUUCAUAUUUUUAUCUACUAUGUAUAGUCCUUAUAAGUUUAUCUCUUUCAUAAACUUUACUCUUCAUAACCUGAGAUAUUUACAUAAAUAUUUAUAUCAACUUUCUUUAUUUUAUAAGAAAUCUAAUUACAAUUACAUACCAAAAUAUUUUAUAUAAUAUUUCUUCUAUAAAAAAAAAAAUAUAUUCUAAGUAAUAAUUGUGACACUUUCCAACUGCAUUUAAAACAUCAUAUAACAACAUGGUUUAUAUGGUUCAUAUGCUUUUUGCUUAUACAACAAAUAAAGUCAUUCGGUUAUAUCCUAACUUCGUUAUCACGGUACUUGUCCGUAAAUGUGACUCUAAUAAAAAAAUGUAACAUCAAGCAGGGCCAAAAUUUCUCACCACCCAACUUUCAAAUGGUGCGAGUUAUGUGACAGAUCCUGGACGUAUAUGCCCUUUUAUGGACUUCCAUAAAGUUAAAUUUUAAUUACAAAGGAAUCCCUGAAGUGACUUGGACAGAAAAAGACAAGGAGGCCUAGAAAAAUCUUAAAAUGUACUAGAAAAGCUAACAACUUACACUAUAAAGAUCAAGCAAUAAGAAGCAGCUCCAACUAUAGAAUGUGAUGUUCAAUGAACUUUUUUUUUCCAGAGCUAAGAAGGGUAGCUAUGGAUGUGGCUUACCUGAUUGUACAGAUGGUAAAACAUUCCAAUCCAAAAUAGAUCAGACAAAAAUUUGGUUAGACCGACUUUAGCAAUUGCAUCCCUGAAACCAUACUGCAUCAGCUGAGGCCCCUCAAUCUGAAACCAAAUAAUCAGAAUUUCGACCAAGAAACAAGAAUUUCAUAACUUCCAUUCAUCUCUGUGAUAAGCAAACGUACCAGUACUGCCGGUGGGAUGCAAAACAGGAGGGCGAUUAUUGAAGUGUAUGCAUAUACAUUUGUGCUGUCCAUUCCCGUCUGUUAAAAAAAACACAUGAAUUAGUCCAUUUUCAGCACAAAAAAGACUUCUUCUUGAGUGAUGAGGCCAUUCCCUUGUGUUUGUGUGUAGUUUAUGUGCAGAGUUCAAGAGAGAUUUAUGAAUAUCAGCAUGAAUAAAGACUAACAUAUGACUUCAUGCAUGGAUUAAGCUUCUUGAAGAGAAAUGAGGAACAUAAUCAAGUAAGAAAUGAAACGAAAACUUCGAAUACAAGACACUUCCUGAAAGAUCUUACCAUUGCUUUCUUUGAAUAUAUACUUCUGUAGGUAAAUGCAAUAUUUGAAAUCAUUGCACUAAUGAAGCCAGUCCAGUUAAAAGAAAGUUCAGUCAGAGAUGCCAUUGAUACGCCUAAAAUAGAAAUCGAGCCGUUCAGUAUUUCAGCGAACAAACUGAGACAUAAUUAUGUGGCACAUGUCGACAAAAUCACCAAACAGUCUGCCAUAUUGGCAUAUUUAUACAUAUACAUGGCAGGUGGAGGACGUCUGAUGUUCUUUUUACAGUUAAGGAAACCGAAAAAAAAUCGAAGGAAGGGGACUAAAAUUCAAGGAGUUACCAAUAACAACAGGGGCCAAUGACAGCCAGAGGGAAAAGGGAAUUUGAUGGCCUAAAACAAACUGAGAAGCAGCAGCAUUGAAAAAUGGCUCCAGGGCUGCAGAAGAAGCAUCAAGAAAUAGUUAUGAGCAAGAAGCUAUCAUAAUCUCAACUGUCACCCAACUUAACCAAACUCUUAAACUACCCAUCCGAAACCAGGGCAUAUGCUUGUGCCACUCCAUCUCGUUCAUCACCUUUGAUAGUGUGGGUAAAUGACACAGCCACCGCUGCAAAUGACACAUUAGACAUAACAUGUCCAAGGGCAUGGCAGAGUGCAACAGGAGUGAGGAGCAGCAGGAGCUCCUUAUCCAUCGGCUGGUUUCAUAAAAACACAGUAAAUUCAAUUGAAAUCCAUAACAUGCCUCAGGUAGACAUCUAUCAAAUAUGAAAUACAGGACUCACAGCUCGUUUUGGUAAACCAACAGCCCAACUGACAAGACAGUAGGCCACGCCCACAAGGAGAUGUAUAAGAGAAACAAAGCUGCAAUGGGGGAAAAGAUGAUCUAAUUGUUAACGAGAAUCGUAUUUUCAAAACAUGAAUCUGUAAAAGGUUAAAUUGACAAAGGUUUAGCAAAGAUAACUUACUAUGGGUAUGGGAAAUAAUUAUAAACCUUCUUGUUAAGUAUGUUGAAAAUUACAUUCAAGAAGUACCUGCAUAGAUAAACUGGCUUCUGCUUAGAGCAACACAAUGGAAUAGUAAUAGUUUCCUUUAACAAUCCUUGGAUCGGAAAUGUGAGUGGAUUGUGAUUUUUUUUCAACUGGUAUGAAGAAUUUCAAGAACCCUUAAUUGGGAAAUUUCAGAAUACAUGAACAUAGCCACUCAUGAACAACAGCAGCAUACCAAAAAAUGAAGGAAAAAAGGCCGAGAUUAUUAACCAUCUACAUUGUAUCAAUCAAACGAGAAACAGGAUGAUUACCACAAGUCACAAAUGGUAUUGAUCAAUUAGUAUGAUCACGAAUUCAUUUCACAAUCUCAAAAUAUGAAAUCCAAAAGAUUAUUCAUAAGGAACAAUUCAGAGAAUUGAAUGAGUUCUAUUGCGUAUUAGUGAAAACAUUCUCUCAAAGACUAAUUUAAGUAAGUUCCAAAAAACCGCCAUUAUGGCAAACGGAAGUCUUUCAAAUUUUACAGGGGAGUGAUAAAAGGAAAGGAAUCAGACAAGUGAGAAAAAGCCUACCACAUAAAGAAAAAGAAUCCGGUGACCAGGACGGGGAAUUUCUCUGCAAAGCUCUUUGAAGGCUUUGUAACACUGCAGUUACACCAUGAGUAUCAGUUAUCCAAUUAUAGCAGUUAAUAAUGCUGCGUUUGGUUGCUGAGAAAAUGUAGGAAAAGCAAGCAACCCAGAAUUUUGAAUGAAAUAAAAAAAAAGGAGAGAUGAAGCCCAACCCAUCGGCAUCCGCAGCUGCAGCCGCCGGAACAGGAAGUUUUACUCCGGCGCCACCUUGCCGCCUCAGCAGAGGAUCCCAACCAGCAAAUUUCAAAGCAUUGCCGGAGAAUUGAACCGGAGCCGCAGACACUCGAAUCUCCGGCAGCGCCGAGAAGGGACUCGCAGAAACAAGUGAUGGAGUCCUGGGCAGUCCAUAAUUACGCGAAAUUCUCUUCGCAUUCAAGCCCAGAGAAGAAAACUGAGAGCAACGAACCGAAGCCGCCAGCGAAGCCAUCCCAAACCAAACACAAAGAAAAAAGCCCCAAACUACGUCGCCCACCACCAACUGAAAACAAUACAGAGCCUUUGAGCGUGCGGAGAAUAAAAAUCAUCGAAAACGAAACUAAAACAAAUGGGUGUCGAUGAAAUCAAGGAAUCAAGAAAAAAAGCGGAGACAUCGACAUAGGAAGUGGUGGGGAAAAGCGCUGAAGACGAUGUCGUCACUCUGUGACUGAUGGAAAUUCAAAAAUGGGAAGGAGUGAGCGCUUGAAAAAGAUGGACGGACACCUGCUGACCAUCAGCAACAGAAUAAAAAAGAAAAAAAAAGAAAAAAAAAAGUGGUGGAAUCAUGUGAAGAGUGAUGAAUUGAGGUAGUUGGUUGUUCUUCAUUAACGGUGAGAGUUGCCUCCAAAAAGUCGUUGCCCAACUGUGCCUUUGGGACCUACCCACUUGUGUUGUGGCCACGUGGGUGUGACUCACUCUUCUAAUAAUUGGGCCUGAGUGACUCUUCGAUGCUCCAAUGGACCUUUUUCUCUCUCCCUCGUCUCCUCCCCUCCUAUCAUUCUUGGAAUCCGCUAAAAUAAGAAUGCGGCUAGAAUAUGAAAAGAAAUAUAUACAUAUAAAUUAUAACAUGAAAAUAAAUCUGGCUUUGGAAUCUCAUCAAAUACCUAAAAAAAUUACACGAAAUUAAUAAUAUAAUCAAUAGAUAUUAUAUACUAUAGUUUGUAUGUAUAAUUUAUUAUCAAUUUUUUAAUUGGGAAGCUAUGGAUUGAAUGGGUCUAGUUUGGUUUUAUAUUUAAAAAUUGAAAUUAUUAAAAAAAUUAGUGUCACGUCUUUAUCUCGUGAGUAUAGUUAUUAACAAAAACUCAUUGAAUUUGUUGUUUGGGCUCAGAAUAGAAUAAAUUAAAAGUUGCUCCUACCACCUGCCCCACAAUAAUUAAAAUUUAUUUUUGGAAAUUAUAUUUAAAAACAUGAAUCUCUCAAUUUUCACAAAACAUAUACAAAUAAUGUUGAUAAACAUGACACAAAUCACAUCUGAGCUAUCACAUGUGUCACAUGUUUGUCCUUAAUAAUAUGAUAUUUCUAGUUUUUAUUAUUAAUGACUUUUAAGGCUUUGUCUACUCACGUUCAAAAUUUAACACUUUACCAUAAACUUAUUAAAGACCCAUAUUUUACAUUCAAUUACAAACUUUUCAUAAAAAUUAUAAAAGAGAUCGGUUUUUUUUCUCUUUAUUUUUGUUUGAUUAUUAGUAUUAAAAAAUUGGAAAUAAUUAUAGAGGGAGGUAGACAAAAUUGGAAAUAAUUAAAAUUAUUAUUUUUUUGUUAUUUUCUACCAUAUUUCCCUUUUGUUUCUUCAUCAUCUCCUAUACGAAAAUGGGGCCUUGACUUUAUCAUAGAAUCCAAUUCCUUGAAAUUAUUUGGUUAACAAAUUACUAUGAUGAUAGUAGAUCCCAAAAAAUGCUAAAAAUAGGCUUUACUUUAUAUAAAUAAUACAUAUGGUCCCAACUUUAUGAUUUUCUCUUUAUGUGCCUUCAAUUAUUGAUGACUACUAUAGUGAUUAUGACAUUGAUAUUCUAAGAAGAAUUGUUUGUUAACACUUUUUUAUUUCAUUUAUAAGGGAUUUUUUUUCUUUUAGUAAAAUAAAUAAGCAUGUAAUUAACUACUCUAACAUUUUUCAUAUAUUUUUAAAAAUAUUCCUUAAAAAUAUUAUUUAGUUUUACAUUUAUAAAAUUGGAAUCAGAUAUCUAAUUCUUAAUAAUAUCCUAUAAUCAAGACAAUUAAUUGAAUCCUGUAAAAUCAUUUCAACGAAGUUCAUUGAUAUCAUUUUUUUAUAAAGCAAAUCAACAUCAAUUCUUGAAUAAUUUACAUCGCUUUUAUUUUUAUUGCGGCAAAAGAUCCCAUUUUUAAGUUAAAACUUCCAUCAUCUUUGGAUAGAAAUGAAAAGGUUGACUUGUAUUUAUUUAUUUAAAAAAUAAAGUUACUUGCUUCAUUUUAAAUAAAUCUUUUUAACAUGGUUUUAAAUAUUUUAGUAUUUUUCUAUUAUUAAUGUUUUUAUUUCUAAAAGUUUUAUUACCUUCAUUUUUUAAAUAGUAUUAAAAUUAUAAAAAUUAUUACUAUUUUUUUUAAAUAGAAAUUAUGUGCAAAUAGACACUAAAGGUUUUAAAAAAUUGAGAUAUAAAAAAAAUUAGUACAAAAUAUUUAAAAAUUAUUUUUUAAAUAUAUAAGAUAAAUUUAUAUUUUUUUCGAAAUUUUCUACUUUUAUGUAAAAGUUUCUGAUUAAAAAAAAUUAAUUUAAAAAAUUUAAAAUCCAAAAGAAGAAGAAAUCUUGGUCCAGUCAAGGCAGUGGAGCUUAAAUUUUGGGCUGGCUCAGCAAUCCGUAACCCAACAACACAAUCACAUUUAUUUUCUCUGAUCAUUUUUAGAUCAAACGCUGAAACCCUAAUAUUCAAAAUCGAGAAAACGUUCUCACUUGCAGAUUCUCGAAGCGGUCCUCAUGGACGGUACUGCCAAAGAAGAAGAACAAGACGGAAUGUCCGUACACUCUCCGUGCAAAGCUCCCCCUUCUUCCACUUCUUCUCUUUCCAAGGCAUCUCUAAAUGUAUGCAUUCGUGUCUCAGUUUCUUUUCUUUCUUUCUUUCUUUAUUUUUUUCUUUUUGGUGUGGGGGGGUGGGGUUCCUUAGGUUUUUUUUGUUGAAUUAGGAUGUCUCUUUGUUGUUAAACAGGAGCAAUCUCAAGUUGAUUUGGAACUCCGAAUUCUUGAAGCUCUUGAAAUUUAUCCUCUUGUCAAGCUACAAGGCAAGUUCGUUUUCUUCAUUUUCAUUGUAUGAACGUUGGAUUAGCUAGUGAUCCUUGUGGAAGGGAUUUGAGAGUGGUGGUGAAGACAGGUUUGAUCAUGCCUGGUGAUCUUAGGUUUCAAUGCCGCAUUGAUUGAAUCUUUGUCUUCAUAUUGUCUUGCUUGUUUUCGUAGUUAGUAUAUGGUGGUCUUUUGGUUUCUUUAUUGGAAAGUUGCUAUGUUGGAAUGUUUGAGAGGUUUUCUUUGCUGCCAUUUUUUUCAUUUUUUUACUUUUGGUUUUGUGGAAGAAGAAAGGCGUUUGAUUUGGUCCAAGGACUGGCUCUUGGAGUUAAUAAGCAGUCAGAUGGAGAAAGAAAUUAAUCGUCGAUGUGAAUUUACAAAGUAAUUCUGAAGGAUUUCACGCUUAGAUGGUAAUUAGUUGAAUAAGAGAUAUGCUCGUUAAUUGCAGAAACAGAGGGUAGAUUUUUUUGAUUGCUAAUUUCACACCUUGGAAUGUAAAUAUUUCCUUUGUGGGAUUGUGUGGUCUGGAAUAUUGUAAGGGUGCCAGCAUCUUAUGCUAACAAACCAAUAUGUACUAUAAUAGCAUCCAUAUACGUAACGAAAUAGCUAAAUUGAAGUGAUAAUGUGUUUCCUUCAUUUAUAUCGUAUGGGAAAUGCAUAAUGUGACUAGUUCGUAUUGUAUCUUGUUCUUCAAUUGAAAGGCCAGAAAUUAGUUUACUCUCUUUUUCUCACAAGGGAUAAGUGAACAAAGGGUGUCCAUUAAAUAAUCAAAUUAAUGAGUGCCAAUUGCUUAAGCAGCACAUGUAGUUCCGUCACAUUCUUGAUGUUGAGAAUUUCAUAUUAUCAAAAGUGCUACUUGUGCCUGGAUACAAAGAUCCUAUGAAGCUCCAUUAUACUCUAUCUUCCUUGGUUGUUAAUAGGGUUUUCCAAUGCAUAGGUGGAGGGUGAAGAUGACAAGUGGUCAGUUUUGUUGUCUUAAUAGAAAAAUUGUGGAAACUGAAACCAUUUUCUUGGAAACUAUUUGUGAUUGCAAACUGUUUCUCAAAUAAGAUUCUUAUUCUUACUCUUCUUAUUAUUAGUUGGAAAAGCACCUUGUACCCAGGUUUUGGGUUUGAUGUUGUCUAUUAAAUGUUCCGUAGUGAUAAACACACAAUAUUUAGCUCAAGAAUGUGCAGUUAUGGUAAAAAUCAAACAGCAGUAUGAAGUAGAGAAAGUCAAGGAUAAGAGUAACUUCUUUUUGGCAAAGGGGAAUCGAUGAUCUCCUAAUAGGCAAAGGGUUCACAAGGCAUUGCUGGAGAAACAAAGAAACAUGAAAAAGUGGAGAGGAUGGGGAGAGAUGGAUGCUAAGACUGCUAGGAUUAUUUGUCGUAGCUGUUGGAUGAAUUCAUUCAUAUUGUGAUUAAUAGAGAGAAAGUUGAAGUGACACGGAAGAACUAAAAAAUUAAUUAUAUGGUGAAGAAUAUUAUGAACAAGUUCUGUGUGAAGAAACAACUGUAUAAUUUGUAGAUGGAGGGAAAUAUGGAAUUGCUGGUGCAUUUCAAUGCAUCUAACAUGUUAAGCACAAAUUGUUAAAUUUUGGAGUGAAAAUUGAAGAGGAAAAUGAGGUGAUGCUUCUAUUGUCAUCACUUUUCGCAUCUCAUAGUCUCUAGUUACUACAUUGUUGUAUAAGAAGACUAGUAUUUGAGGAGAUGACUAGAGGCCUCAUGUCAAUGAGAAAAGGUGAAAGCUAGUCGUAUGUUGGAAGCACAUAUUUCUUGGUUUUGAGGAAGGUAUCAAGGGCGUAAAAGAAGGAACUCUUUAGCAGAGAUGUUGCAUCUGAUGAUGCCUUUAUGUUAUAAAAGGAAUUAAAAUGAUGUGUCAAUUGACAGCUACUGCUGCUGAAAGGAAGGUGCCAAGCACAAUGCUAGAUUUGACUCUGCCUUCUUUUGUUCAAGUAGGCAGUUUUGCUGGACUACAUGUUAAUAUGGUUUUUGUGCAUGAUACCCAUAAUGAUUUUAUAUUUCUGUGCUUGCACAAACAAGUGUUCUGGAAACCAGUGUCAUGCAAAAAUUACUGUUAUCCGUAAUCACAAUGCAAAUUUUUGUUGGUUUUGGGGGUAAAGAUAAGUUGUAAGUUCUUGAUUUUGUCAUCCUUUCUUGCACUUUCCAGUUUUGGAAGAAAGUUCAUAAUGUCAGAGUCAGGACAGGUAGGGCUAAUAAUCCUUCUGGAAAUGGUAUAAAAAUACAAUGCAAUAGUCCUCUUUAGUAGGAUUUUGUUGUUCAGACUGCCUUUAAAAUUUGAUUGAUGCUUGGUGUGGAAAGGUGAUUAAAAAUUUAUUACUUUAUAGAGCAUGGUUAAUGAUAAAUUGGUCCUUUUAAUAUCAUUGAAAGUUAUGUUCCACUUAGACAAAUAUUUUUCUAGCAAUCCUUGAAGAACUUACAUGUUGCUGAUGAUAGAACUCACACUUGUUACAAGUCAUUUACCAUUAAGCUGGGAUUUUAAGGAAAAACUACCUCUGGUGGUCAAUGCACUAAGCUAAUAAUAAGACAGAUGAAGUAUCAACUUCUAAUUUCUUUCUUAAUUAUCAGUUUAUUGAUAAAUGCAAUAAUUUAACCAAUUGUUUUCCUGCAGGCAUUCAUCGUCACUUUAUCCUCUAUAGUCUAAUGGAAUUUAUGCGAAGAAGGUUUGAUCUUGCUCUUUGUUGCUUUUUACUCUCUAUAGUUUUCCACCUUUUGAGUAAAGAUUCUGGUAUGGCUUUAACUCAAAUCGUGUAUUAACCAUGUUACUAAACCUUAAUCUGUAUUACAUACUCUUGCACAUCACUGACAUUCAUGUCACAGCUUUGAACGGAACUUCACUUCUGAGGAGGUUUUGCAGUUGCUGGAUCGUUUCUACAACUUAGAAAUGCUGGUAUCUAUAAUUACAUUCAUUGAUAUUAUAAUUAAAAUUCAUCAGUUAUUAUUACAUUUAUAUAUGUACAGUUUGGUCUUACUUGGAAUUUGCCAUGUUGAAAACCCCAUGUUUGUAUUGCAUGGUUGACACACCUCCUCUACAAAAUCAUAGUCAUAAGUUGAUGAAUGUCUUUGUGAACUAGUGGGUACAACAUCUGUACCCAUUAAUUCAGAAAGUUCAGUUCAAAUUGCAAAUAUACAAACAGCCCCACUGACUUAGGAAGACCCACAACACACUGAACAGGGGAGGGAGAGAACCAAAUCUUAUUUGCCAUUGGACAACAGAUGUUACUGCAGGUAGUUGACAACUCUGUUUUUCUUCUUUUUUUUCACAUGAGUGGCACCUAUCUGCCAAGGACAGUCCCUUUUUCUUAGCUGUUCCAAACCUGAGGAGCAUUUCCUGGGUUCCCGCCUACCUAAUGUUGUGUUCAUAAGAUUAAUGUAGUCAGGUUGAAGAACUGCAGAUCUAAUUGUUCUUGAAAUGGUGGAUAUGCUGAUUGGUAUCCUCUAGACAUGUAAAAGAAUUCCAUUGAUGGAUUGGCAAUGGAAGUUCUUCUAGUGGAAGGAUUCUAUAUAGAGAAAGAAAGACUGAAACCAACUUGGAUAAAAUAAUAUAGUAAAAAGGAUAUUUAGCUCUUUUCACUGAAAAUAUGCAUUCUGAUAUAGUGAAAUCAUAAAGCAGUAUUUCUGUUGCUGAUCUCAAAUAAAAUGGAAUGAGACAUUAUUUGAUGCGCUAUUGAUUCAAAACAAACUCUUCCACACAAAGAAAGGAUUGGUUGAUUGUCCGUUUUUACUUUGGGGAUGUGUUUAUGUAUGUCAGAUUGCUUUAGUUAGUUUAUCCCAUUUUUGAACUACUAAAUGAGUAAUUUCAUUAUUUAUUUUCCGACUGAGUUUCAGAAACCAGAUGAUGAGGACUCGGAGUUCUUAAGUCAAGAGGAAGAAUUUUGCUUGCCCCAAAGUUAUUUUGCCAAAGAAGAAUCGUAACUCACAAAAUUUAGGUAUUGCUUAUGGCAGUCAUUGGCACUAUUAUUGAGAUUUGAGAUUGUUUUACUGAUGAUUGUCACUCAAGUUGAUGUUGGAAGGACCAAGAAGUGGGCAGUAGUUCCAUGUCGAUACCGUGUGAAAUGUAACCAUCACAGAGGCAAUCUUGCUACCAAAGAGAGCCAAAUGUGAGGGAGUGAAUUCUUUUACUGAUUUCAUAAUGAAGUUACUUUUGAAGAUUUAUAUCUGUUUAUAAGGCUUUGUAAAUGAUUAUUUAUCUAAGAUAUGGUUUUUUUGAAAUACGAUGCUAAGAUCAGAUUGUUCAUUUUAUUUUUAUUAUUAUUAUUUAUCUAAAAUGUGCUUAAUAUAAGAAAAUGAUUAAAAAAUCAUGAAAAUAUAUUUUUGUUAAAAGAUGUUAUAUUUCAUGACUUUAAAAAUGAGUCAUUAUUUACCAUUUGAUUUUCAGAUAAUUACUCAAGGCCACUUUGCAUAGCAUAUCUGCAAGGGGCAGGUGCCUGACUUCAAUCAGGAAGGCCAUGAGAAGAGAGAAAGGCCUAUUUAACAACAUUACCAAAAACAAUUCUUAAAAAAAAAAAAAAAAAAAAAAAUUAAUUAGUUUUCAUUUAUUUUUAGGAACAAAAUUAUAUGUAAGAAUUCAAAUAUAAAAAAAAAAAAAAAAAAUUCUCAAAUCUUGAUUUAUAUACCUGACUCUGAAAGUAUUAUACAGCUAUUCAUUUUAUGUUCUGGGAAACUGCAUUGGAGUUCAAAUAAUGGAUGCUAACAGAAACAUAGUGACAGACAAAAAGUCAUUACAAUAUUAAGAGUGCACAGAGAUUAUCCAUUCUUUGGAUAAGUAGUAGAUUCUAUGAAAUAACAUUUUACCAGAAGCAGAAGGCAAAAAGAUUAAAACAAAAACAAAACAUGAAUCAAAAAUAAUGAAGCCUAGUCAACCCAUAUCAUCUUCUCGCUUUGGCUGGGCCUGAAGAUUAACAACAUUCUCAAGUGUUUUACACAGCGCCAUCUCCUUCCUUGGUGAGAAAUCCUAGAAUGAAAGAUGAAAACGAAAAUUUUGCUUUUGCAAAGCACUUUGAUAUCAUAUUGCCAUUAUGCAGAGCUUGAGAGUACUCUGUCAAUGCUGCAAAAAGUUUGUCAGAUUUUGAUCAGCGACAUAGGAUUGGUCAUUAGCUGGCUAAUGGUGACCCCAAAAAAUUAUGUAAAAAUGUGUACCUCAGUAGGUUCAGCAGCCUUGGGUUCUUCACCUUUGAAGUUGUCUUCACCUGCAAUGGAGUAUUUGUGUAUGAGACAUACAGAAGCCAAAACCAACAGAAACAACUCUAUUAUCUCAUGAAUGGAGAAGAAUAAUGUUAUGGGUCCAAAUUCUAAAUGCUUUCUAAGCGUUUAAGAAAAAUUGGGAACUCAACAUGGUAUCAGAGAUCUGGUUAACUAGAGGUCUCGGGUUCAACUCUUGUCUAAUGCCUACCAUUGUCUAUGGCUCCCAUGUGUUCCUAUGUACCAUAUUUUCGAAAUGUAGAUUUGCUUUAGUUUUUGGCCAUACAGUACCUCCAUCUUCAGGCAAAUCAGAGGUCCAGAGAGUGAGGUUGUCUCUCAACAGCUGCAUAAUCAGAGUGCUGUCCUUGUAUGACUCCUCGCUCAAGGUGUCCAAUUCUGCAAUUGCCUCAUCAAAAGCUUGCUUAGCCAAAUGGCAGGCCCUGUAAAAGUUUCAUUUCUCAAAUCAGGCCAUAACAAUCUUUUAAAAGGCUUGAACAGUCUAUGCUAUGCUUGAAACAUAUGCAUUACCUUUCAGGAGAAUUCAUUAUCUCAUAGUAGAAGACAGAGAAGUUGAGAGCAAGGCCAAGACGGAUUGGGUGGGUUGAAGGGAGGUCAGUGUUAGCAGUGCUGGAGGCAGCCUAACAAAUAGCAAAGAAAGGGUAUAUCAAGUGAUCGAAUUAGAAAAUGUUACAUAAAUACGAACAUUGACUCUAUGUGUUUGUUAAGAGAUGUCACAAGAAGUGAACAUGCCUCGUAGCCCUUCAGUGACUGCUCAGAGGCCUCUUUCCUUUCCUGGUCAGUCUUGAACUCAGCCAGAUACCGGUAGUAGUCACCUUUCCUGAAUUCAUUCAUACCAAAACACCAGGAAAGAUAAACUUAAAACCCCAUAUAAAAGUUUAGUUUCAAAUGUACAUAUGUAAAUAUAUUGCACAGCCUCCAUGUGAAUGAGUUCUUCUCAUAUAAAAAAACAAAUUAAUGUUAUAAUGUGUGUAUAUAUGUAUAGGGAGAGAAGACAGGGAAAACACAAAGUCAAUCUUAUUAACUCGAAAAAGAAUGAGAGAGAUAUGUAAAGUAACUGAGUGAAAUGUUUGACCUAUCUCAUAUGGGCCAUGGAAUGAAUCAAAAGCACAAUCCCUGUCCCCUCACAUGGGCACCAGUUGUAUGAAGAAGGAAAAGUAACUCAUCAUAUCAGAACAUAAUUAUUCUCUGGUAUGAUGCUCUUUGGAAUAUAUUCAGCAUGAUUGAACAACAAGAAUAUAGUCUAGCGGCAACAUGACUCACAUCUUGUAAUAGAACACAGUGGCUUCCCCCGAGCCAGAAGAGGGGAUCAGGUGUUUGUCUAUGAUUGUCAGAAUGUCACCACAAAUCUUGGAGAGCUCCUCCUCAACCUUCUGGCGGUAACCCUUAAUCAGUUUAACAUUCUGCUCGUUUCCCUUUGACUCUUCUUUCUGCUCAAUCGAAGACAUAAUGCGCCAAGAAGCACGUCGAGCGCCUAUAACAUUUUUGUACCCCACAGAGAGGAGGUUCCUCUCCUCCACAGUUAGCUCAAGGUCGAGUUUUGCCACUGUUUUCAUACACUCCACCAUUUCUGUGUCGCAAACAAAACAUCAAAUCAGAAGGAGAUCUCAAUUACAAUAUAGUAAGCAGAUAAUUUCCAAAUAGGUGCCUUCUAUAUGAGGCAUAGACAGAGUUCUCUACUUGAUUCUAAGAGUACAUUUAUCAUUAUCACUAUUCUCUAAAAAUUAGGAAAUGCGAAUGGUUUCAUACUCUCUGGAAAUUACAUGUUAACGUAUAUUAUGAACAUUUAAGCAAUAACCUAGGGAGGCCAUGAAUGCAUAUAAAUGAAUCUCUACACACAUCCAACCAAAAAAAAAAAGCCUAAAAAUAAAGAGGGAAAACAACAAUAAAAUUACAAGAAGAUAACCAAAAUAAUAAGGGAGGGAAAUGCAAUCCCAAUUUGGGGCCCUCCUCAAUGAUAAAAAGGCACUCUAUUACCUUUUCGGGUAUAACUCACGCUGUCCCAGUAUUUAAGUGGUAUAAGGUAGGUGACAUUCCUCUGAAUUCACAAUACACCCAUCCAAAAACAACAUAAUAUGACUAUUUCCUUAAAUGGAUAUCCUAAACAAAAAAUAAAAAUAAAAAUUGAUGAUCCUUCUUUUUUGGAUUUCUCAUUAUGAUGCUUUUUCCAAAGCUUGAUUCCCAUUAAUGGGACAUCUAUGAUCUUCUCCAACAACCAAAUUAACACAUACAAAAAUUGAUGAAAUCAAAGACCACAUGCGUAGAUGACAAGGGAUCCAUUCAAUUGAACACAACAACCAAAUAUGCCUCUUAACAACAUUGGAAACUUGAACACAACAUCCAAAUGUGCCUCUUAACAAUAUUGGAAACCCAGGGCGAAUAUGCUCAGCCACAUUCCCAAACAACCAAACACAAUGAAAUCAAACAAGUCAAGAAACUAAAUGAUUAGACCAACCCUAAUACCCAGAAGAAACAAUUGCAUGAGAAAGGGUAGGAGAUCAACUCCAUUUCAUAGAAUUCUAACAUUUCAACCCAUGCCCAUCUGCAACCAAUCCAUUACUUCUCUUUGGCACAAAGGCAGAUUGUAAAUCACCACCUAAGAGUCUAAGACCCAUUUCUGGCUGGAAAUAUAUAUAUUCACCCACAAAAACCAACACAAAACUUCAUAAAACCGCAUCCAUUCAUGAAUUCCCCAAAAACCCAGAUCCGAAGCAAUAAAAAACGACAAGAAAAACAACCCAAAAUUAAAGGAAAAGAAAAAAAAGAAAACCUUCAUAGCGCUCAGCCUGUUCGGCGAGCUUGGCCAUGUAAACCUGAGUCUCUCUUUCCUUCUCGGUCGACAUUGUUGCAAGAAAGAGAGACAAACCCACAACACCAGAGACUUUUUUGGAGGGAUGGAGGGAAAAACGAAGAAAAAUAGAGAGAAAAUAGGGGAGUUGUGGUAGGAAGAAAGGGUAUUUAUAUAUACAUAUAUAGAGAGAAGGGGGAAGUUCAAAAGGUCAAAGGCAAGUGGGGAGGAAGGAAGAUCGGAUCUAGACCGUUAGUUGGGGAAGAGAGUUUUCAAACUUAUCCGCCAUAUUCGGAUUUGAUCGGAUUUCUUCAAUUCUCUCUUCCCUUCCCCCCCUUCACCAGAUGCUCUCACGUGCUACGGUCCUAAAAUUUCAUAUUUUUAAAAUAUGUAAUUAAAUAAAAAAUUUAUUACCUUUUUUUUUUUAAAUUGAAAAAUGUGAAUUCCAUUUUUGAGGAUUUUAUCAAAUAUGACCUUCUAUCAAUUUUAAAAAGCUCCAAAUAAUAGUAUGUUAGAAGUUAAAAAAAAAUAUUUAUUUUUGAUAAAUUCCCAUUAAAGUUAUUGUUUUAUUUUUAUCUCCAAAUUAAUAAAUUAAAAUUAAUUAUAUAAUUUUAUGGUUGAAAUGGUUAGAGUUACCAAGGAAGGGGAAUUUUCAUGUUCAAUAAAUAAUAUAAAUAUUUUUUUUUGUAGUUUUGUAUAUUAAUUACAAUAUUAGUAAUUGUUGAUAUGAUUUAUAUUUUAAUUAGUUUUUUUCUAUCUUAAUAAUUUUUUAUAAUUUAAUUAUAUUAUUGGUAGUUUAAUGAUCUUCUUAGUUUAGUAAUCUCCAAAUGAGAUUGAAGACAACAUCAUUCUUGGCUCCAAAAGGAAAAAAAAAAAAAGGAAAAUUUUAUAUUUAUUGUUAUUAAUUAUUGAGUUUAAUUGAUAUUUAAUUAUUGAGAAAUAAUAAAUGAACAAAAAGAUUUAAGGAUGCGUUUGGGAAUGAUAUUUCUAAUAAUGUUUUUAAAUUUUGACUUUUAUGAUGGUAUUUUUAUCAAAAAUACAUUUAUAAAGAACUAAUUAAUGUUUUGAUAUAAAUAUGAGAAAAAAAUUUAUCUUGUGUUUUUCAAAAUUUUUAAAAAAUUUCAAACUGACAAGAUUUGUACUUGCUUUUUCAUAAAAAUUUCUAUACUUUAUAUGUGGCUAUUUUUAAAAAUAAAAAUAAAAAAUAUAUCCAAACAUGGCCUAACAAUCUAUAGAAUUUUAAUGGUAAGAUUUUGAGGGUGGCUCUCUUGGUGAUCAUUAUCAUUCUUUUUGACCAUAUGAUGAUGAUGAUGAGACACACAAUUUAAUAAUGGAGUCUGAUAAGUGUGGUUGAUGGAAAAGGCCCUACAAGAGGGCCAAUUUGCCUUCUAUUAUAUGCUGUCUUUAUUUAUUUACACUUGAAUGCAUAUGGGCAGCAAUUAUAUAAAGCUAGAAUAUAGCAUUGGGCUAGCUUUUGUUAGAAGAUUAGAAUCAAUUCCAAAGAAUUUUCCUAAUUGUUAUUUGUUAGAGUCAAAAGGAUUCAACCAUCUCAUUUGAAAAAUUAAUAAGUUUUGAUUUUGCAUUCCAAUAAUUCCUACCCUAUCAAUUCUUAAAUCGGGUUUUGAUUAUUUCAUUUAAAAAUUAAUUGUUAUGGGAGGAUAGAAGACAAUUUUCUUACUUAGUGUAUCACGAAAACUAAUAUGAAAUUUAUUUUUAUUAAUGACAAUGAUUUUGAAAUACAUUACUAACACACUUUUCUAUUGUGCAAUUGAAUAAAAAUACCUUAACACUUUUGUUUUAUGUUGGAAUAUAUUUUCAAAUGUUAUAAACUACCACCCGGUUAAGAAAGAAUAAUUUAAUAUUUUUUUUAAAAAAUUGCUUCUCAUAUAUAUUUAAGAUCUUCUUACAUAAUCUUACUUAACUCCUUAUAAAAUUUAAAUUAAAAAAAAAAUUGUAAGAUAUGGAAUAAUUUUGGAUUUGGGUACUUGAAAAAAAACAUAAAUAAAUAUGAUAAAAUAAAUAAAUAAAUAAAUAAGAUCAAAAUACAAAGAAAUAACAUUAAAACAUAAAUGAAUAAUAAUAAAAAAAAAUGGAAAAUUUUAGCCUCCAAUGAGUUGCAACCGUUGGAUCGAAGACUUUGAAUGUCAACCCUUGGAUUAUUUUCAUGGCAUGGGACCGUUUGGUAACCCAUAGGAUGAGUUUUUUUUUUUUAAUUUACCUAACCUUGGCACGUGCCUUAUAACUAUUGGUCUAAUUUUGUGGGUAUGAUACCGUGCCUCCGAUUGGGAAGGGAUUCCGGUAUAUAGCGAUGGAUUGUUCUUUGGUACCACUCUUUAUUUUGGGUACCUACCCACAUUUGACCCAAUAAUAAAAUAACAUGUGUAAAAUACAUAUCAUUAAAAAAUUUAUAAAAACUUAUCAAAUCGGUAAAGAUGACUUGUUGAUGAGAAAUAAUCACAUGCAUUUCAUACAUAUCUAAAUAUUACAAUUUUUUUAUAAUUUAUUAUUGAAUAUCAAAUAUAAUUUGUUUUUUAAUGAAUUACCUAACUCUAUCUAAAAAAGAAAAUCUUACCAACUACUCUUAUACUCUCAUUAUUCAUAUAUAUAAAAAAAAAAGGAUAGUAAUUUAAUAUAAAAAUUAAAUAAUUUCAACUACCAAAUUACAAAAUAUGUAAGAUGUAUUUUGAUGAAUCAAAUUUCAAUAUCAAGUUUAAAACUUUUUGAGAGAGAAAAUUUAAAAUUUGUAUUAUGUGAAAAAGAUGAAGGAUUUCAAGUGAUUACAAAUAUCAAAGGUAAUAUUUGAUUUUUUUUUUAUCCAAAUAUAAUUGUUGUAGGAAGAAAUGUGAUGUUAAAUAAUGAUUUUAGAAUUUUAUAUGAGUUUAUUAUAAAAUUUUGUUAUCAAAUUGUUAUUAAUAUUUUUAUAUAAUUUUUUUUUUGUUCAUAGAUGAAAUUUGAAGAUGAAGUUUUAUAUGUCUUGAAAAAGACAUUAUACGAAAUAUGUCAAGUGAUUACAAGUGUUAAAAGGUAACAUUUGAUUUUUUUUUUUUUUUCCAUUUACACAUAACUGUUGUAGGUAGAAAUGUCAUGUUAAAUGACAUUUAAAUAUGUAAUGAUUUAUAACAUCUAGAUUUUUUAAUUUUUUUUCUAAGUUAUUAUUAAUCAAAUUGAGAGCAUUUAGUCAUUUGUUAUGAAAUUGUCAUCAGUAUUUUUAUAUUAUUAUUUUGUGUAUUCGUAGACUAAAUUCGAAGAUGAAGUUUUAUAUAUUGAAAUGAGGUAUGAAAAUUGUGAGAGGGAGCACGAACUUUGUAAGAUAGGAUACGAAUUUUCUAAGAGAGGGUACGAACUUUGUGAGAAAUGGUACAAAUUUUAUGAGAAAUUGUACGAAUUUUAUAAGAAAUUGUACAAACUUUGUGAUAGUGGGUACGAACUUUGUGAAAAAAAAGUACGAACUUUAUAAGAAAGGGUACAAACUUUGUAAGAAAGUGUAUGAACUUUGUAAUAGAGGGUAUGAACUUUGUAAGAAAGUGUAUGAACUUUGUGAGAGAUGGUACGAACUUUGUAAUAGAGGGUACGAACUUUGUGAGACAUGGUACGAACUUUGUGAGAGUGUGUACGAACUUUGUAAGAAAUUGUACAAACUUUGUGAGAGAGGGUACGAACUUUGUAAGAAUGGGUACGAACUUGGUAAGAGAUGGUACGAACUUGGUAAGAGAUGGUACGAACUUGGUAAGAGAAGGUAUGAACUUUGUAAGAUAUGGUACGAACUUUGUAAGAGAUUGUACGAACUUUGUGAUAAAUGGUACGAACUUUGUGAUAGAGGGUAUGAACUUUGUGAGAAAUAGUACGAACUUUGUGAAUGAGGGUACGAACUUCGUGAAGGAGGGUACGAACUUCCAUCAUUUCUUUAAGAGUAAUUUUUUUAAUUUCUUUUAAGAGUAAUUUCCAUUAUUUCUAAGCUUAAUUAGUAUCAAUAAAUAAUAUUAUUGUAUUUCCAUGUGGAAAAAAUUUUGAAAAGUUUGAAAUUUUGUACAAUUUUUUAGGGUAAAGAGAAUGUGCGAAGGGUGCUAAGAAUGUGAGGAUUCCUCACAUUUUUUGUACCAUUCCUCACAUUAUUCGUACCUUCUAUAAUUACUUAGUGUUUUAAUUUUUUAAUUUUCUUUAAAAUAAUUUUCAUCAUUUCAUUAGUUGAUAAACAAUAUUAUUUAUAUUUUUAAGUGGAAAAAAAUCAAAAAAAUCGAAAAAUUGUUAAAUUUCAAGAUAUGGGAAUGUGAGGUAAGGUAUCAAGAAUGUGAGGAUUUCUCAUAAUCUUCAUACCUUUUCUCACAUUUUUCAUAUCCUCUCUAAUUUUUUAGUGUUUUAAUUUUCUAAUUUUUUUAGGAUAAUUUACAUUAUUUCCUAUUUUAAUUUUUUUUAAUUCUUAUUUUUUUUAACAAUUCUAUCAAUAAUAACUCAAAAUAAUAUUAUUAAACUAUUUUAUUGUUAUUUCAAGUUAAAAAGUAAAUCUGAAAAUUUAAAAAUAUAAAUAAUUUAGGAUACGAAAAAUAUGAGAAUCGUAUGAAAAAUAUGAUAAAUACAUGUUUGGUACUUUCAUCACAUUUUUCAUAUUGAUUUUUAGUUUAAAAAUUUUUUAAAUUACAAAUUUAUUUUCGAAAAUACUAUCAUUAGUAACUUAAAAGAGUAAUAUUACCAUAUUCAUUUUUAGGUUGAAUUUAAAUGUUUAAUAAUUUGUUAAAAAUAAAAUAAUGUAAUUAUGAUAUAUGAUUUUUUUUUUUUUUGUUAAUAAAUAUGUUUUCAAAUUUUAUAUCAUUUUUAUUUUCAUUUUUUUCUAAUUCUAUUUUUAUCUCAUAUUUAUUUUAUUUAAACCCAAAAUUAUUGAGAAUGGAGGAAGAAAUAAGGUCACAACCGGUUCUUCCCUUAACUAGUUAAGUGGAAUUUUUAUUUCAAAUUUAAAAUGGAUGUCCGAAAAACUUUUUCGGUACCUACCGAAGAGGUACCCUAGAAUUUUCAUAUAGCGAUAGACUCAUAUUUCAGUGAGACUUAGGAGGGAAAAAAUGAAACCGUAAUUGUCCACGUUUUAUUUUUCGAUACCAUUUUUUCCGAUAGCGGGACCCACCAAGAUGCCGCUUACUACAUUAGCAGUAGCACUCUCCCAACAAAAAACCUAAUGCACAAGUCAUACUGAGAUGUAUCCGGUCCUAAAAUUUGGUGGGUUUGGUAAAUGAAGGAGGUUGUUGGAACCCAUGUCAAGAUGUAGGAGAAGAUGCCUCUUACUUUUGGAAAAAUGUAGGCAUAUGAAGCAGCUGAAGGAGGCUCAUGCCCAGGUACUCACUUGCGGGCUUGGAACUGAUAGCUUUGCCCUCAGCAGGCUCUUGGCCUUUUGCUCACACCCACUUCAUGGGAGCCUCCCUCAUGCCUGGAAACUAUUUCAACAGAUUCAACACCCCACCAUCUGCAUCUGCAACACAAUGAUCAAAGCUUUCGUACUCAAGGGCAAACUGAUCAACACCAUUCAGAUUUACUCCCAGAUGCUGGAAAAUGGGCUGUACCCUGACAACUACACCCUUCCUUAUGUGUUGAAGGCCUGUGCAGGGCUGCAGAGCUGUCAUCUAGGAGAAUCGGCUCAUGGGCAGAGUGUGAAGCUGGGGUUUUGGUUUGAUAUUUUUGUGGGUAACACUUUGAUUGCCAUGUACUCAUCAUUUGGAAAUGUGAGGGCAGCAAGAUGCAUAUUUGAUGAAAUGCCUUGGCACACUGCUGUGUCAUGGACAGUCAUGAUUUCUGGGUAUGCAAAGGUGGGUGAUGUUGAGACAGCAAGAAUGCUUUUUGAUGAAGCACCCAUGAAGGAUAGAGGAAUAUGGGGUUCAAUCAUAUCUGGGUAUGUGCAGAACAAUUGUUUUAAGGAGGGUUUGCAGAUGUUCCGUUUGAUGCAGUCCACAGGGUUGGAGCCUGAUGAGGCCAUUCUUGUGAGCAUUCUAUGUGCUUGUGCCCAUUUAGGAGCUAUGGAAAUUGGGGUUUGGGUCCAUAGAUAUUUGGACCAAUUGGGUCAUCCACUGAGUGUGAGAUUGAGCACUGGUCUGAUAGACAUGUAUGCUAAAUGUGGGAGUUUGGAUAUAGCCAAGAAACUGUUUGACGGAAUGUCGCAAAGGGAUACAAUUUGUUGGAAUGCCAUGAUUUCAGGGAUGGCAAUGAAUGGAGAUGGAGACAAUGCACUUAGGCUGUUUUCAGAGAUGGAGAAGGCUGGUGUCAAGCCUGAUGAUAUCACCUUCAUUGCCAUUUUUACUGCUUGUAGUUAUUCAGGCAUGGCACAUGAAGCUAUAAGGCUGUUAAAUAGCAUGUGUACAGUAUACAAUAUGGAGCCCAAGAGCGAGCAUUAUGGGUGUAUAGUUGACCUUCUUGGCCGAGCUGGGCUCCUGAAAGAAGCCAAGGAACUCAUCCUCAAAAUGCCUAAUUCAAGCAGCCCCACGGAGCAAGCCAUAGCUUGGAGGGCAUUACUGAGCGCUUGUUGUAGUCAUGGGCAAACAGAAGUGGCUGAGGAUGCAGCACAGAGACUCUUCCAUUUAGAACAUCACAGUGGGGCCUAUGUUCUGCUUUCAAACUUAUAUGCAGCUGCAGGAAAACAGGACCAUGUGAGAAGAAUAAGGAAGAUGAUGGAAAACAGAGGAGUAGACAAGGCUCCAGGUUGCAGCUCAGUCAAGAUCAAUGGGGUUGUUCAUGAGUUUAUUGCAGGGGAAGAGACACAUCUGCAGAUGGAAGAAGUACAUAGAGUUUUGGAGAAGAUGAAUAAGCAGAUGGGUUAUUCUGGGUUCAACCCAUAUCCGUUUGAAGUUGAUGAGACAUUAUGUAUCCAAGCUUGACAACCAGCCCUCUGGGUGUGGGAAGUCAGAAACAGCACAAGGUUUCACAACAGAAGCAAAACACAAUGAAUCUUGAUAUUUCAUUCUCUCCUUCAAACCCUAAAAAGGUAUUAUAUUAUGGGUCUAUGAACAGCAUAAGCAACUCUCAACCAACGCAAAACCAGGUAUUGAUUAACUUGAGGGCAGAGUUUAUCAGUGCGAUAAUUGGAGACAAAAAGAAGCUAAAUUUCUCUUUUUAUUCAGAGAAUAGGUUGAACAUAUGUUUUUGCACAUACAAGUACAACAUUAUAUAAAUAAAAAAAUAUGUUGAUAUCUUGACUAAAAGAGGAAAUCCGUGUCAGAAACUUCGAGGACUUUGUGUACACCUAUGGGUUUCACACCUGGCCGGAAUGCAUUUCCUUCAAUGUACCUACAGUAGCAUGGAAUCGAUCAUUAGUUCCUCCAUCUAACAUUGGGUUUCAGAAACUGUAAGUUGCCUAGAUCCGAGUAAAGAAGUGGACUCACAUUUCUUUCAGAAAAGGGUGCUUAUAGAAGGCAUCAGGAAUUCUCCCUGAAAAUUGAUUGUGAUCCAAGAACCUGAAAUACAAUUAAGGUGACCUUAGAUAUAUACUGAAAGCAUCAACAAAUAGUGAUGUAAAAUCCCUUCUCUAUGGUCAUGUCCUCAUCCAUUCAUUACUCCCUUUCAGGAUUUUGAUGGAUGGAAUUCUACUCUUUCCUAUUUUCCAAGAAUGUCCCCACAACAGCAAGAAAAUGACCCAUCAAGAAACACAAAAAUGAAUACAUUGACUUUAGGAUGGAAAGGAACUAAGAAGCUAAUCUUCCCAGGUCUUACAGGGGUCAGAUUAGAGCUCCCUAGCUAAUUAUCUUACAGUAUAAAGUCACCAUGACAGUAAUAAUUCAGUUGGCAACUUCAUGCCCAAUGCAUGGUCUAGCUUUGUAGACCAUUUUUGAGAAUGGCUAGUAAGAUGGUCAGUCAAUGAGAUCUAAUCGAGAUCCCAUUGAACUGUGUGCUUAAACUUCCAGUUUGAUGCAUAUCAGUAAGUGAAAGAAGGAAUAUUUUUCUUUACAUAUGGAUGAAACAGCACAAUUGUAAAAGGGAUACAAUUGCACAAAUCCAAACUUACAAGGAAGUCAAUCUAGGAAUAUGAGCAAGCCCAGAUGGUACUACACCAGACAUUUUGUUGUGGGAUAGGUACCUGUAACCAACAGAGCAAUCAACAUUACAAACUCUAUGACUAGAAAAAGGAAAGGAAAUUUUGACACAGAAAAGAAAUAAAACCUCAAUUAACAGUGACAUACAUAAGCAACACUUACAAGAUUUCUAAGUUCGUCAAGUUUGCAAGUUGUGCUGGAAUUCCUCCACUGAAAUAAUUGUUAUUCAGAUAGCUGCAUAGAAAAAUUAAAAGCAGAAUUACUUAGAAUUAGCAGUUUAUAAUACCAAUAGUUACAAAACAUAAAUGAAUUCAUUAUGGAUUCCUCAACUGGGAUUAACGUACAGGUUGCGAAGAGCAGGAAAGCAUCCCUCAAUGCGUAUGAGUUCCCUUAUGGUACCCACCAAAUGAUUGUUGCCAACAUCCCUACAAAGAUGGGAUAUUACAAUGGGUUGCAUUACUACUGAGAUAAAGAGAUAGUUUCUCUAGAACAAGAUCUGCAAAGAGAAGAAGAAAUGUUACAAGUGCCGAAGGUUUUGCAGAGUGCCCAAUUCUGGAGGAAUACGGCCAACAAAACGAUUUUCAUGUAGAUAGAGGUAACGAAGCUCAGGAAGAUUUGCAAGCUCCUUGGGGAUUUCCCCUUUGAAAUUAUUGAAGCUCAGAUAUCUGCAGAAGAAUCAGUUAACAAUCUUCUAACUGUAAGAAGGAUAGGUGUACAACAAGAAUUCCCAACAAAAAUAAUCUUCAGAAAAAUGAAAUUACUCACAGAUGUGUUAAUCUCUUCAAUUCACCUAUUUCAGGAGGAAUGACAUCUUGUAGCUUAUUCCACCUCAAAUUACUGAAAGAAACCCAAUAUGAUAAAAUAAGACAAAAGAUCAGUACACAAUAAAAAGAUGAGAGAGAAUAAAUUAAAAGCUUAAUAAUUCGCUUCAGGUUAGGAAAAGUGUUCACAAAACAACAUCUGGUAUUAAUCCAACAGGCAUUUUUGGAAGUACAGAAAAGGUCACUGAUAUAAUGAUGCAUAGGUUUACAUGGCAUGGCAUAAAAGCUCAGUAUCAGGAAGUGCAUGAGAUGAUACAAACAACUAUGAAUUAUAGUCGAACAAAAUCAACUAGCCAAGCCUUAUGACAUCAUGUAGGGCAGACCUAGGCAAAUCUUGUUAUGCCUUUCAAGGUUGCAUUUCAUAUGGCUAUGUAAUAUUCUUGCUAAAAGAAAUCAUUCAGACAAGCAAUUGGUGUUAUAUAUAAAAAUAUCCCAAGUUAAAAGGGGCAUGUUAUUUUUGAAUAACUGGGAUAUCAUCCACAAUGCCUCAAACAAUACAAGAUCAUUCCUUCAAAAAUAUCAUAGGAUCAAGAAAGUGCAGGAAGUAAGCAUCAGAACCAGAGGCAGGAAACGUGGUUCUUACUGCACAAACAUAGGAGGAUAUACAAAGCAUUAGGAAACGGAAUGAGAAAACACAUAGAAAGCCUCCUAGAUAAAUGCAGGAAGUAGGAACCAUAAAGAAUUCAGGAUCUAGAGUAACAACAAGAUCAUGACAUUGUAUAUUCAUAAACGCUGAUUAUAAUUAAGUAAUCACUGGCUCAUUACAAUAUUACCAAGUACCAGUCAAUUAAUCUUUAAAAACCAUUUCCAUUUCUAAUAAGACAAAAUGAACCACUGAUGAUCUUUGUAGAUUAGAUAUAAAUAAGAUCCCAAAAUAUUUUCCAUAAGCACAAGUUUCUAAAAAAAGAAACUGUGAGAAAUACAAACCAAAAGAAAAGGCAUGAAUGGUGCAGCUUGAAGUGUGCUCCCUUAAAAGGUUUCAAAAGCAGAAGAAAGUGUCUAGGAAAACAGGAUUCCAAAAACCUAUGAGAACUUCCAGUAAUCCUGAAACAGAUAAUAGUUGCAUAGCCCAAAACCUGGUAGAUACAUUUUAGCUGCUUAAAGCAAGCAAAAGCCUGCUAAUUAUGGCUCUAUUUUUAUAUUCAUAGAUCUAUAUUUAUUUGCCUACAAUAACAGUUUCUUAGUAGCAAAGACCAGAGUGACCAACAUGACCAAUUACUUGGAUUAUGCCAUGCUAACAACACAUGUUACACAUCCGAAAAGAUGCAUCAGUGUCUGAGACACAUAUUAGCCAGGUCUAGCUACAUGUCAGAGAAGUACAAAAUCUGGCAUGCUUCUGUGGAAAUGCAUCAUAAAAUAGGGAACUGUAACAAUCAAAGUUGUUUCCGCCUUGAAGAUAUACAAUAUUUUGCUAUCAGUACAUUCACUGAAAAAAGAAGAUUGAUGCCAAAGGCAACCUGCGAGAUACCUACAGCUUUUUCAAUUAAAUUUAGUCAGGCUCCAUGCUUUAGAUAACAACCCAAAAGACUACCACUGAUAUUUGAUUUGAAAAAAUGGCAUCAUCAGUAGCAGUGUUAUCAAAAUGAACAUGCUGCAUACACAAAAUAGGCACCAACUUUCAAGGUAGUUCUUAUGUUAAAAUCAGGAUAACAAACCCUACAAACUUUUAGUAGCUGAUAUGCUCUAUAUAUAGCCUCUUUUAAAGUGGGCAAUGUCAUGCAACAGCCAAGUAAAAGGCAAAAGAAAAUCCUAUAAAUAGGACAGAGAAAGUUAUCCCCAAGAAUGUGUAAAAACUUAUGUAACCUACUUCACUACAGUUUGAAAAUUUGUGAGGAUAAGAUCCAUACAAGCCACUCUUUCUAUACAAAAACAAUGUACGACAUAUGUGAUUUAAGAUAAAGAUGCAAAGACAACAGAAAGGAAUCUACCCUAUGGCCCAUACCACCGAGUAGAGAAUCCAUGGCUAUGACUGUCCCAAUUCUAAGAUCAAUCUUGCUACAACAACUUAAAGUACUAUCACCAUGAUUGUUUUGUCAUGUCAAUUUUCAAGUCUAAUUAUUGGGAGUUCCCAGACGAACUAUUUUGCUCAAUGGCCAAAACAUAGACAUAUUGAAGAAUGCAUUCUGUGUCUUAAAAUAGAUGCUGCCAUUUCAUAAUACGUUAAGUUAGGGGGCAUUUCCAUGUUUGCUUCAACCGAAUUAUAUCCAUGGCAGAACAAUAAUAAUAGAGAACAUACGCCAAGACAACAUGCUAUGUGCGUAAGUCAAAUGUCAAAGUGAAAUCAAGUGGACCAAUAUUAAAUCUGAUAGCGAGUUAAGAGCCUCACAGUAUUCUAAGACGCUUCAGCCGUCCAAUUUGUGGAGGAAUAGGCCCAGUCAACUUGUUAUUAUGGAGAUCCCUGCCAUAGUACACAGUCAUACAGAUUAAAGACAAUUGAAGGAAAAGGAAUUUUAAAACAAGAACUUCUGAUAGUGCUGAAACACCUUCCAGUUAUUCUUUACAUUUGAAGAUAAGGGGAAUAAAUUCACCAUUGCAAUCCUAGAAUACAUUAAGGGCCAAUGAACUAUCAUAACAAACAUACAAACUUGGGAUUUUAAUACACAAGCAAACUAGCACAUCAGUGAACAGCCAUUAAAACAAAACCGUAGCAAAAAACAGCUUCAAAUCGUUCAAAAAUGACUUCAGAAUUCAUAACAAAUAUCAAAGAUAGAAGAUCAUUUAUGCAUGUCCUCAAAAAAAUACCAUGCAGCACAACUGAGUAUAUAUAGUGACAAAAAAAAUGUUGAAACCAACUUUUUGUUAGAAAACCAGUCAGAGACGAUACUAAUUGCACAUAUCAUUCAUGCAUCAAGGGUGGAUGCAAUUUCUAUAGUCCAGAAGCCAAGAAUCACAUAUUAAUCAGAAGGAGAAAGAAACUUACAGCCUUGUAAGAUCCAACAAAUUGGUCACAGCAGUAGGAAAAGGCCCCACAAUCGACACUGCAUAAACUUCCCUGCAAGCACACAAACAUAUUCCAAUAAGCAUUCAACACAUUAUUGAAACAUCAAAUUGCAACCAUCGUUUCUAAAUUUCAACUUGACCCCCACAACUCAUUCGUUCAAAACAGAUUCAUUUCAAUGAACUUGCAAUAUAUAACUGAAACAUCAAUUACCAACCAUCAUUUCCGUACGUUAAAACAAAUUCAUUCCUAUGAAUUAUCCUUAACACCCCAUUGCAUUACAACACCCACAAGUAUUAAACUCAAACACUUCACAAUAUAACGUUUAAUUCAACAUUUCUAAGGUACUUUUCAAGCUUUAAUUAGCUAGAAAAAACGCAAUUUCCCCUCCCAAAAGCAAGAAAAAACUCCAACAAAACCGUACAUUAAUGAACAAUCAGAAAACGACAGUUACAACAUGAACACACUUCCAAAUCAAUGCAAAUAAGAAGUACCCAAAAAUAUAGAGAGGGAGAGAGAGAACGCUUACAGUUCAGUAACUACUCUAUAAUCACCCUGAGUAGAGCAGGUGACACCAGACCAAGGCGGGAGGUCGCCGUCGCCGCAGGGAUCGUCUCCGACCCACGCGUACACCACUCUCCAUCCCAGAGACGCCUUGAUUUCGUUCAAAGCCUUCACUGCAACCACAAAACCCCACAUCCGAAUCAAAUCUAACCCCAUUCCAACCUCAAAAACACCAGAUCCGAGCUCGAGAUCCGAAAAUUACCAUCACGCUUUAGGGUUUUGCAGAGGCCGAGGUCGAGAAACAAGGACAGAAGGAGAAUCAGAUUCAAAGCCACUGAAGAAGACGGACGAGCCAUUUCGCCGUUGGAUCAACACUCACAUAUGGAAGGAUCCAAUUCACCACUUUUCUCUCUCUCUCUCUCUCUCUCUCUCUCUCUCUGGUUUCAAUGGAGAUUCACUUCACUUCUUGCUUCUGCCUCUGCCGACGCGGACGCGGACGCGGAACGAGGAGUUGAAAACCGCUUCGUCGGUGGAUUUUCUUUUCUUUUCCAUUUUUCUUUUCUAAUGAUUAAAAUUUUUCAUUUAAUAAAUAAAUAAAUAUUUCUAAAGAAAGACAUCAUGGAAAAUUAUAAUUUUAUUCCACAAAAUAAUUAUGAUGGAAAAAACUUUUUUACAGUUCAAACAAGCUUGAAAUGAAAUGUAAUUCAAAUGACCUAAAAGUUCUAGUGUUUUUUUUUUUUCCAAUCAAGGCCAAUUAAUUCAUAAUUAAAUAGUUAAAAACUCAUGUGGUAAAUGAAAGAUUAAAUGAUGAAUUCAAUUUAGAAAAAUUAUAUUUUGAAUAUUUAAUAAAUAUAUGAUCAAGAAAAAGGGUGUUGAUGAAAUUAAUUACCCAUUUAAAUUAUUAUUAUCUCGCAGCAUUACUGAAAUAAUAUUAAAAUUAUUUAUUUACUUUAAACUUUUAUAGUAAUUUAUUUUUUGAAUUUGACCCAUUAAAUUUACUUUCCAUCAAGUUGACUUGUAUGUACUUUUUUUUCUCAAAAUUAAGACAUUUUGUGUAAUGUCAACUUAAUUUAAUGAAUAAAAGAAUUUAUAUAUUUACUUUAUUUGACAAUUAUGAUUUUGAUUCACUAGAUGAAUAGAUAUAUUCAUUUCAAUUGUCGUCAAAAAAUUUAAAAAAACCCGGGCUAGGUAAGUUUUUUUAAACUCAUUCCUAAUCAUAUAUCAUUUUAGUACUAAAGAAAUUCAAAUCCUUAAUUAAAAUAUAUAUCAACAAAUUCAAACAAAUUUCAAAUAAUGCGACCCUAACGGCUCAAAUUUAGAAUAUUAAUAUUUUAAAUAUUUCAUAAAUAUAUGAUUGAGAAAAAAAGGUGUCCAUCAAAUUAAUUACUCAUUUAAGUUACUAAUGUCUUGUAGCAUUAGUAUAAUUAAAACAAUAAUAAAAUCAUUUAACUUAGAAUCAUGCACUAAAGGAGGAAAAAAUAAACUUCUAUUUUGAAUUUUUAUAGCAAUUUAUUUCUUCAAUUUCACUUACAAGUACCAUUGUCUCAAAACUAAUGCCUUUCACAUAUGUAUUGUGAAGUUAAUUUAAUGAAUGAAGAAAAUGGUAUAUUUACUUGAUUUCAUAAUUAUGAUUUUGAUUUACUUGAUUAAUGGACAUUUAUUUCAAUUAUUUGUUAAAAAAAAUAGAAAAAUAUAUAUAUUUUCUCUUUGAUCCAAAUAAACUCAUCUCAUAUUUUAUAUCAUUUUAAUAUUAGAAAAACUGAAAUCCUUAAUUGAUAUAUACAAUAACAAAUUCAAACGAACUUUAAGAAAUGCAUCUUGUUCACGAGGGUAAUAAAAAUAUUGGUGUAGCUAGAAAAAGGGAAUCAAAUUUGAAUUCUCAACAUUAGAUAUUUUGUAAUCCAAUAAUUAUUAUUCAUUUCUUUAAAUAUAUAGUUCUAAAUAAAAUGAUUUUAUUAUUGUAAGGAAAAAAAUAAAAAUUUAUAUAAGCUCUUUGGGGCUAGAUAUAUUCCAAGCAAUAUAAAUCCUUACAAACUCAUCCCUAACCUUGUACCAUUUUAAUAUCAAAGAAACUCAUACACCAAAUUGAUGUAGAUUCAAGCAAUAGGAUUUGAUCAUCUCUCCGAUGUUGAGAAUAUUCAACUCAAAGACUUAUAGUUCAUUUUAUCUGGGAGGCACACCUUGAUUGACUUAUCGAAUGAAAAAGAAAUGAAGACCCACAAAUUAAAGAAAAUAUCGAGGUGGGGCGAAAGAAUACAAAUUAAUCAUCUCUUCAAUAUAAAAAAUAUUCAACUCGAACUUAUAGUUCAUUACAUCUUAGAGGCACACCUUGAUUGAGAUGUUAGAAAGACCUAUAAAUCAAUUGGAAGAAAAACACCAAAUGAAUAUUAUUCAAAAUCAAAUAUAUACAAUAUUCCAAUGUAUAGAAGAAGAAUAAUAAAAGAAAGGGAAAGGAUACAGAAUGAAAGAGAAAUGAAGGGCCACAAUUAAUUAAAGAAGAAUACGAAGGUGGGAACAAUAUUAAUUCAUUAUAUCGAUCAUACUCAUCAUAUUCAUAGUCAUAGAUACACAGCACCAAACUUUACAUGAAUAUAUUUAUUGUAAACAGUAGUGAAGAGAGAGGGGAAAAGACCAUCGUGUCCACAGUCCACACAAGAAAUAUAGCUGUAAUCACCUCACAUUUCCUCGUCAAACCACCUCCAAAUUUAAUGAAACUCAUGGGCUUCUCCUGAGCUCCUACGCCCAAAAAGCUAAAAGCAAACCCCAAACCCCAAGUCUAGUACACCAUUUCCAUGCUUGUUUCUGCUGCUUCUACAAAGAUUUUUCCCAUGGUUAAUUUCAUAUUUUUCUCCUUGAAAGCAUAAAAAUUCUAUCCAAAAACAAGCGUGGAAAUAGCAACAUUUGCGGUAGAAUAUACUAGUAGCUAAUUAGAUCAAAAAGAGAAGCAAGAAACUCAUUGGUUGUAGCCAAUUCUCCAUCCCAAAGCUGUAAAUCUUCUUCCAUGUGUUGUGGGCAGCUUUUCAAGAACAUAGGGUACUCCAUGGAAGACACGCCAAGAACUGAAAACAAGCCAAAGAUGAAGGGUACUGCCAAGUAGUAAUGAUUCAGUUGUGGAGAGGGUUGGGCCCUGAGGGCACUAGUCUCUUCUCCACGCCGUAUCUUGGGUCAAUCUCAUCGGGUGAUGAUGGUGGCGGAGGCGGCAGCAGAAGAGGUCGACGGCCCCGGAUUCUUUGAAUCUGAAUGCAUAAAGAAGAUGGGGCUUGUUCAGUUGAUGAUGACACUGCAGAACUACAAGAACGGUGGCGGCGGUGGUGGGGGUGGUGGUGGUGGGUGGUUGUGGGGUUGGAGAAUUGGCCCAGUUGGGUGGCGGAUGAAGCCAAGAAGACAAGGCCAAGAAGCAUGAGAACCCAAAGCCAAGAAGAGGGAGAGCUCUUCAUGGUGAUUAAGAUUUAAGACUACUUUCAGAUCAGGUGAGACUUGAGAAAGAGAGAGAGAGAGAGAGAGAGAGAAAGAGAGAGAGGAGGAGGAGAAGAAGAAGAAGAAAGAAUAUAUAAGGAGGAGGAGGAGGUGGUGGUGGUGAGUAUAUAGAGAGGCGAGAGACACAUGAAGUCAUGAAGAGAGAAAAAGAUUGGUUUUGGGGCUUCGGGAGAUGCAGAAGUGCUUGCUCAAAAUCAACAUCUUUCAUCAAACGGAUCACGUAUAUGAACGAGUGGGAUUGUACUUUGUUGAGGGAGUUUCCACAUUUCCCAUUACUUGUAGUUAAGAUUGUGGGGUCUGCUCACCAUUUAUGGCUCACCUCAUCACCAGUUGUCAUUCAUUACUCCCGACUCCUAGCCAUGGUCACUUGUGGUAUGCUAACUUUGUGGAUUUGGUUCACCC